RNAcentral lists this ribosomal RNA (259 nucleotides) under uncultured bacterium. RNAcentral describes it as "partial 16S ribosomal RNA". It matches the Rfam family "Bacterial small subunit ribosomal RNA", at positions 524 to 776 of the family's 1533-position model. The record is from RNAcentral.
UACGUAGGGGGGCAAGCGUUGUCCGGAAUCAUUGGGCGUAAAGCGCGUGUAGGCGGCCCGGUAAGUCCGCUGUGAAAGUCGGGGGGCUCAACCCUCGAAUGCCGGUGGAUACUGUCGGGCUAGAGUGCGGAAGAGGCGAGUGGAAUUCCUGGUGUAGCGGUGAAAUGACGCAGAUAUCAGGAGGAACACCAAUUGCGAAGGCAGCAGACUAGGGUGCAACUGACGCUGAGGCACGAAAAGUGCGGGGGAUCAAAACAGG